CCCUCCUCACUCAAAUGCUCCUACUGAAAAAGGUGACAAAACAGCAGAUUGUGAAUGUGAAGCAGGCUUUGAGCCCAGGAAAAGCUAGAGCGUGGGAGCAAAAGCCUAUGAAACUAGGACUAAAACCUUUGAUGGCUCUGAGGGAGGCCCAAGUCUUUCCAGGGAUUCUUUCCUCAGAGAUGACAAAUGCAUUCACUUUGAGAAAUAGGGGCUGGUCCUCCUAAACAGGCUGGUGGUUCAGCCUAAUGGUCUGGUCCAUCCACAUCCUGAGCAUCCAAAUUCUGUUAAAAUUAUCUGGUUAGAGAUCAUACAGUGAGUAUCAAAGUUUACAUUUCAUUAAGUUGCAUGGUUUCAAAUCAUAUCAGAAUUUGGCUUUUUGCCUGAGCUACUACUUGCGUUUUUAUUGUUUAAUGAGUUGAUAAGUCUUCUUCCUAUCUGCUCAUUUUCUGAGUUUUAAAACAAAUGUUUUACUGUACAAUCUGUUGGUUUAAAUGAAAUUUGUACUGAGCAUUAAAAUCUAGUGGGAUGUUAUUUACAAAUUCCUCAGAUUUUCUGCCAGUAAUUGUCCUGUCAUGCUAACUGUGUGAUGACUUGCAUUACAGAAUUCAUCAGUAUUGUUGAUUUAGAUUCCUCCUGUGCAAUAUUAGUAUCCUAUACAUGGGUCCAAGAGGACAGCAAAGGAAGGUCAUCUCUUUUGCAUACCAGAGAUCAUGAUCAAUAGUGGAACAAGUUUGAAUAUUGCUUUACCAUCACCUUAGGGUACAGUAACAC
This 771-nucleotide long non-coding RNA is filed under the name Cairina moschata (Muscovy duck). RNAcentral describes it as "domestica (muscovy Duck (domestic type)) lncRNA (ENSCMMG00000015756.1)". Lineage: Eukaryota; Metazoa; Chordata; Aves; Anseriformes; Anatidae. The record is from RNAcentral.